GGAGAGAUGGGUGAGCGGUUUAAACCGGCAGUCUUGAAAACUGUUGAACCGUAAAGGUUCCGGGGGUUCGAAUCCCUCUCUCUCCG
Molecule: transfer RNA, 86 nt
Filed under: Bacteroidales bacterium
Lineage: Bacteria; Pseudomonadati; Bacteroidota; Bacteroidia; Bacteroidales
Description: tRNA-Ser
Rfam family: tRNA
About the family: Transfer RNA (tRNA) molecules are approximately 80 nucleotides in length. Their secondary structure includes four short double-helical elements and three loops (D, anti-codon, and T loops). Further hydrogen bonds mediate the characteristic L-shaped molecular structure. tRNAs have two regions of fundamental functional importance: the anti-codon, which is responsible for specific mRNA codon recognition, and the 3' end, to which the tRNAs corresponding amino acid is attached (by aminoacyl-tRNA synthetases). tRNAs cope with the degeneracy of the genetic code in two manners: having more than one tRNA (with a specific anti-codon) for a particular amino acid; and 'wobble' base-pairing, i.e. permitting non-standard base-pairing at the 3rd anti-codon position.
Source: RNAcentral